RNAcentral lists this ribosomal RNA (558 nucleotides) under uncultured bacterium. Its description in RNAcentral is "bacterial SSU rRNA". It matches the Rfam family "Bacterial small subunit ribosomal RNA", at positions 961 to 1516 of the family's 1533-position model. The record is from RNAcentral.
GCGAAGAACCUUACCAAAUCUUGACAUCCUUUGACAACUCUAGAGAUAGAGUCUUCCCCUUCGGGGGACAAAGUGACAGGUGGUGCAUGGUUGUCGUCAGCUCGUGUCGUGAGAUGUUGGGUUAAGUCCCGCAACGAGCGCAACCCUUAAGCUUAGUUGCCAGCAUUAAGUUGGGCACUCUAAGUUGACUGCCGGUGACAAACCGGAGGAAGGUGGGGAUGACGUCAAAUCAUCAUGCCCCUUAUGAUUUGGGCUACACACGUGCUACAAUGGACAAUACAAAGGGCAGCUAAACCGCGAGGUCAUGCAAAUCCCAUAAAGUUGUUCUCAGUUCGGAUUGUAGUCUGCAACUCGACUACAUGAAGCUGGAAUCGCUAGUAAUCGUAGAUCAGCAUGCUACGGUGAAUACGUUCCCGGGUCUUGUACACACCGCCCGUCACACCACGAGAGUCUGUAACACCCGAAGCCGGUGGAGUAACCAUUUAUGGAGCUAGCCGUCGAAGGUGGGACAAAUGAUUGGGGUGAAGUCGUAACAAGGUAGCCGUAUCGGAAGGUGCG